UUGGAGAAUAGAAUGAAUGGCUUUACCAGCUUUUUGUUUCAUAUAAAAAAUUGAAUUUUUAUUUUAAUGAAAAGAUUAAAAUCAUUUUUUUAGACGAUAAGACCCUAUGAAGCUUUACUAAUAAUUAGUUUUUUUGGGGCAAACAAAAAUUUUGUUAUUUAAAAUUUGUUCUAUGGUGAUCUUAAAAAAUUACAAGAAAAAGCUACUCUAGGGAUAACAGCAUUAUUUUUAAUAAAGUUCUUAUUGAAUUAAAAGAUUGUGACCUCGAUGUUGAAUUAAGAAAGGUAGCUUGUGCAGCAGCUAGUUACUUUUAGUCUGUUCGACUAACUAAUCUU
RNAcentral lists this ribosomal RNA (335 nucleotides) under Skistodiaptomus mississippiensis. RNAcentral's name for it is "partial 16S ribosomal RNA". The stretch from base 93 to 335 matches the Rfam family "Archaeal large subunit ribosomal RNA", at positions 2156 to 2666 of the family's 2987-position model. The record is from RNAcentral. Lineage: Eukaryota; Metazoa; Arthropoda; Copepoda; Calanoida; Diaptomidae.